RNAcentral lists this ribosomal RNA (763 nucleotides) under Oceanoplaca caesiosorediata. Its description in RNAcentral is "Teloschistaceae sp. UA-2020e partial large subunit ribosomal RNA". It matches the Rfam family "Eukaryotic large subunit ribosomal RNA", at positions 165 to 943 of the family's 3401-position model. The record is from RNAcentral. Lineage: Eukaryota; Fungi; Ascomycota; Lecanoromycetes; Teloschistales; Teloschistaceae.
CGGGACGCGGCGCCGGCUUAAGUCCCUUGGAACGGGGCGUCAUAGAGGGUGAGAAUCCCGUACGUGACCGGUGACCAAGCCCGUGUGAAACUCCUUCGACGAGUCGAGUUGUUUGGGAAUGCAGCUCAAAAUGGGUGGUAAAUUUCAUCUAAAGCUAAAUACUGGCCAGAGACCGAUAGCGCACAAGUAGAGUGAUCGAAAGAUGAAAAGCACUUUGGAAAGAGAGUCAAACAGUACGUGAAAUUGUUGAAAGGGAAGCGCUUGCAACCAGACCUGCCCGCGGGCGAUCAGCCGUCCCUUCGGGGCGGUGCACGCGCCCGUGAACAGGCCAGCAUCGGUUCGGGCGGCCGGAUAAAGGCCCUGGGAACGUAGCUCCUCUCGGGGAGUGUUAUAGCCCUCGGCGCAAUGCGGCCAGCCUGGACCGAGGACCGCGCUUCGGCUAGGAUGCUGGCGUAAUGGUUGUAAGCGGCCCGUCUUGAAACACGGACCAAGGAGUCUAACAUCUAUGCGAGUGUUUGGGCGUGAAACCCAGGCGCGCAAUGAAAGUGAACGGAGGUGGGAACCCCUCGAGGGCGCACCAUCGACCGAUCCUGAUGUCUUCGGAUGGAUUUGAGUACGAGCAUAGCUGUUGGGACCCGAAAGAUGGUGAACUAUGCCUGAAUAGGGUGAAGCCAGAGGAAACUCUGGUGGAGGCUCGCAGCGGUUCUGACGUGCAAAUCGAUCGUCAAAUUUGGGUAUAGGGGCGAAAGACUAAUCGAACCAU